RNAcentral lists this transfer RNA (65 nucleotides) under Lasioglossum lativentre. RNAcentral describes it as "tRNA-Ile". Lineage: Eukaryota; Metazoa; Arthropoda; Insecta; Hymenoptera; Halictidae. The record is from RNAcentral.
AGUAAAAUGCCUGAUUAAAGGAUUAUUUUGAUAUAAUAAGUAUGUGAAAUUCUUCACUUUUACUA